Molecule: small nucleolar RNA, 81 nt
Organism: Lotus japonicus
Lineage: Eukaryota; Viridiplantae; Streptophyta; Magnoliopsida; Fabales; Fabaceae
Product: small nucleolar RNA U31b
Exons: 1
Source: RefSeq, a predicted model, not a curated record
GGAUAUGAUGAUAUUGAUUGUCGCCCCAGUCUUAAUCUGCACUAAAGGUGUAAGGUGGUGAUAGACAUUUUAAUCUGAUCC